RNAcentral lists this ribosomal RNA (391 nucleotides) under uncultured Lactobacillus sp. Its description in RNAcentral is "bacterial SSU rRNA". It matches the Rfam family "Bacterial small subunit ribosomal RNA", at positions 151 to 524 of the family's 1533-position model. The record is from RNAcentral. Lineage: Bacteria; Bacillati; Bacillota; Bacilli; Lactobacillales; Lactobacillaceae.
GGGAAACAGGUGCUAAUACCCGGAUAAGAAAGCAGAUCGCAUGAUCAGCUUUUAAAGGCGGGCGUAAAGCUGUCGCUAUGGGGAUGGGCCCCCGCGGUGCAUUAGCUAGUUGGUAAGGUAAGGCUUACAAGGGCGAUGAUGCAUAGCCGAGUUGAGAGACUGAUCGGGCCACAUUGGGACUGAGACACGGCCCAAAACUCUACGGGAGGCAGCAGUAGGAAUCUUCCACAAUGGACGCAAGUCUGAUGGAGCAACGCCGCGUGAGUGAAGAAGGUUUUCGGAUCGUAAAAGCUCUGUUGUUGGUGAAGAAGGAUAGAGGUAGUAACUGGCCUUUAUUUGACGGUAAUCAACCAGAAGUCACGGCUAACUACGUGCCAGCAGCCGCGGUAAU